CAUAUUUCUAUGCUUAAAGGUCUAGGACUUCUGGUCCAAAAUUGAUAUUGACAAUUUGAAUAUUUGAUGUGUUAAAUUAAUGGAUGAGACAAAUUGUGGAUUGUCAUAAAUGACAGGUAAAAUAAAUGGAUGAAUGGAUGAGAGAGAGAAGAAAUAAAUGGAUAAGCAGACAGAUGUAAUAUGUAAAUGAAGGAAGAAUAGAUGGCCAAGGGAAUGAAUAUAUGGAUGGUUGAAUGACAAGUAAUGGAUGAAUAUUCUUUCUUCAAUAGACC
RNAcentral lists this long non-coding RNA (272 nucleotides) under Mytilus galloprovincialis (Mediterranean mussel). The record is from RNAcentral. Lineage: Eukaryota; Metazoa; Mollusca; Bivalvia; Mytilida; Mytilidae.